CUCUAAGUGUAAAUCAUUUAAUUUUCUUCCUAUACAAGCAAAAAACAAGUUGAAUACAAAAAAAAAUUCUCAAAAUGUAUAAAGACUCCAAAAAUUAAAUAACUCAGAAUAAAACUUGUUAAGAGUGAAGUAGUUUGUUUGGGUUCCUAUAAAAACUUAGGACUACAUAGACACAUUUUUCUGUAUACAAUAAUGAUAGAAAACAACAUAUAAGACUUGGUAUAGCUGUCUAUAGGGCCUUAGGGGGCAAGUUCCACAAGUGAUUGUCUGAAUAGAACCAAAAGUUGCAAAAAUGUCCAUCACUUUAAUGUGUGACUAUUUUCAGAUAAGGUUUUUAAAACACUUAGCCUAUUUAGAAACACAUCUAGAUCUAGUGUUACAGUG
This is a non-coding RNA of Biomphalaria pfeifferi, 384 nucleotides long. The record is from the annotation of a GenBank genome assembly. Lineage: Eukaryota; Metazoa; Mollusca; Gastropoda; Planorbidae.